GCAGAGAGUCUCAUGAUGGAUGAUAAGAUUGUUGAGAAUGAAGUAAAAAGAGAGUCUGUUCCAUUGCAUGAGACAGUUAACAUUGGGAAAAGUGGAUCUAAACCAAGGUUCAUUCCUCCACCUGGCAGUGGGCAGAGAAUAUAUGAUAUAGAUCCACGCUUGACAGGUUUCCGUCAGCACCUAGAUUACCGGUAUGCACAGUACAAAAGACUGCGUGAAGAAAUUGACAAGUAUGAAGG
This 239-nucleotide unclassified non-coding RNA is filed under the name Hevea brasiliensis (rubber tree). The record is from RNAcentral. Lineage: Eukaryota; Viridiplantae; Streptophyta; Magnoliopsida; Malpighiales; Euphorbiaceae.